CCGGAGAAUGUUAUCACGGGAGACACACGGCGGGUGCUAACGUCCGUCGUGAAGAGGGAAACAACCCAGACCGCCAGCUAAGGUCCCAAAGUCAUGGUUAAGUGGGAAACGAUGUGGGAAGGCCCAGACAGCCAGGAUGUUGGCUUAGAAGCAGCCAUCAUUUAAAGAAAGCGUAAUAGCUCACUGGUCGAGUCGGCCUGCGCGGAAGAUGUAACGGGGCUAAACCAUGCACCGAAGCUGCGGCAGCGACGCUGAUGCGUUGUUGGGUAGGGGAGCGUUCUGUAAGCCUGUGAAGGUGUGUCGUGAGGCAUGCUGGAGGUAUCAGAAGUGCGAAUGCUGACAUAAGUAACGAUAAAGCGGGUGAAAAGCCCGCUCGCCGGAAGACCAAGGGUUCCUGUCCAACGUUAAUCGGGGCAGGGUGAGUCGACCCCUAAGGCGAGGCCGAAAGGCGUAGUCGAUGGGAAACGGGUUAAUAUUCCCGUACUUGGUGUUACUGCGAAGGGGGGACGGAGAAGGCUAUGUUGGCCGGGCGACGGUUGUCCCGGUUUAAGCGUGUAGGUGUGUGUUCCAGGUAAAUCCGGUUCACUUUAACACUGAGGCGUGAUGACG
This 609-nucleotide ribosomal RNA is filed under the name Salmonella enterica subsp. enterica serovar Paratyphi B. RNAcentral describes it as "bacterial LSU rRNA". It matches the Rfam family "Bacterial large subunit ribosomal RNA", at positions 962 to 1571 of the family's 2925-position model. The record is from RNAcentral. Lineage: Bacteria; Pseudomonadati; Pseudomonadota; Gammaproteobacteria; Enterobacterales; Enterobacteriaceae.